CAGUAGCCGCGGGAAUACGUAGGGUGCAAGCGUUGUCCGGAAUUAUUGGGCGUAAAGAGCGUGUAGGCGGCUCGACAAGUCCGCUGUGAAAGUCCAGGGCUCAACCCUGGAAUGCCGGUGGAUACUGUCGAGCUAGAGUCCGGAAGGGGCGAGUGGAACUCCUGGUGUAGCGGUGAAAUGCGCAGAUAUCAGGAAGAACACCAAUGGCGAAGGCAGCUCGCUGGGACGUGACUGACGCUGAGACGCGAAAGCGUGGGGAGCGAACAGGAUUAGAUACCCCGGUAGUCCCUGUCUCUUAUAC
Molecule: ribosomal RNA, 301 nt
Filed under: uncultured bacterium
Lineage: Bacteria
Description: partial 16S ribosomal RNA
Rfam family: Bacterial small subunit ribosomal RNA
Source: RNAcentral